AACGAACGCUGGCGGCAUGCCUAACACAUGCAAGUCGAACGAACCCUUCGGGGUUAGUGGCGCACGGGUGCGUAACGCGUGGGAACCUGCCCUUAGGUUCGGAAUAACUCAGAGAAAUUUGAGCUAAUACCGGAUAAUGUCUUCGGACCAAAGAUUUAUCGCCUUUGGAUGGGCCCGCGUUGGAUUAGCUAGUUGGUGGGGUAAAGGCCUACCAAGGCGACGAUCCAUAGCUGGUCUGAGAGGAUGAUCAGCUACACUGGGACUGAGACACGGCCCAGACUCCUACGGGAGGCAGCAGUGGGGAAUAUUGGACAAUGGGCGAAAGCCUGAUCCAGCAAUGCCGCGUGAGUGAUGAAGGCCUUAGGGUUGUAAAGCUCUUUUACUGGGGAUGAUAAUGACAGUACCCAGAGAAUAAGCUCCGGCUAACUCCGUGCCAGCAGCCGCGGUAAU
Molecule: ribosomal RNA, 450 nt
Filed under: uncultured bacterium
Lineage: Bacteria
Description: bacterial SSU rRNA
Rfam family: Bacterial small subunit ribosomal RNA
Source: RNAcentral